GCUCACAGGAUCCUCCUACCUCAGCCUCCUGAAUAGCUCAGACUACAGGCACACGCCACCAUGCCUGGCUAAUUUUUUUUUUUUUUUUUUGUAGAGAUGGUGGGGCAGGGGGAGUCUUACUAUGUUGCCCAGGCUGGUCUCGAACUCCUGGGCUCAAGUAAUCCUCCCACCUCCUGAAGUGCUGGUGGCAUUACAGCGUGAGCCACUGUCCCUGGCCUCAUAUGUGUACUAUUUGAAUGUAGUCUUUAGGGAAGUUCCUGAUCAAGUCUUUUGUCAUUAAAAAAAAAUUAUUUGUCUUUUUCUUGUUGAUUUACAAGAGUGCUUUAUAUAUUUAGGAUGAGUCCUUUCUCAGGUAUGUAUUUUGCAAAUGUUUCCUGCAAUUUGUGGCUUCCAUUUUUCAUUUUCUUUUUCUUUUUUUUUUUUCGGGAGACAGAGUCUCACUCUGUUGCCAGGCUGGAGGGCAGUGGCACAAUCUCGACUCACUGCAAC
Molecule: long non-coding RNA, 489 nt
Filed under: Homo sapiens (human)
Lineage: Eukaryota; Metazoa; Chordata; Mammalia; Primates; Hominidae
Description: HSALNT0103402
Source: RNAcentral